This is a long non-coding RNA of Carassius gibelio (silver crucian carp), 1590 nucleotides long. RefSeq lists it as uncharacterized. The transcript has 5 exons. NCBI's taxonomy places the organism in Eukaryota, Metazoa, Chordata, Actinopteri, Cypriniformes, Cyprinidae. The record is from RefSeq and is a predicted model, not a curated record.
CAUGGGGAGUGACACAGUUGUAUCAGUUGAGUAUACAGAGCUGAUAUUGUGCGUUGUUCUCUUUAGUAUGUUACCUUUAGGGUAACUAUCCGAGAUCUGCGAACUUGUUCUACCUCAUGUUGAAAGUUGGCGGAUCAGUGCAGCUGAUUAAAAUCACGCGUACGUUUCGGCCGAGAGCCCAGUGCCUUAAUAAUUCUCACUGGAGUCCAGGUAACUACAGUAACUAGUUUGCAGGGUCUGUACGGUGUCACUGCAGGAAUGUGUUUGUGAAAACAGGAGGAGUUCCUCAGAGAUAGCUGGACAGAGUUUGAGAUUCGUCGGCAGUGCUUGGCGUCUCUGAUCAACAUGCGACGGUUCUGGAGCCUCUUCAGACUCCUCCCAAACUGUCAUUGCAUCCCAUUCGCUACAUGACCAGUGACAUCCUUUACCCAUUCCACCAGAACCAGGACUUCCUGUACCUGACAGGAAUUAUGGAGCCGGACAGUGCACUGGUGAUGUACGAGACCAGGCCGUGUUAUUCGUCCCACAGCGAAACCCAGAACAACUGCUUUAACGCGUCUAGAGUGUGUUCACAGCACAGAGGAGCUGGGUGAAAUGCUAAAAAGCUUGAAAGGCUGCUCAGCAGCUCUGCCCCCAUCAUUACUACCUGGGCAUGGAUGUUCAUGACACCCCUGAGCUGUCCCGUUCACAACCACUGCAACCUGGCAUGGUGAUCACAACCAGGAGAGCCAGUUGAAGACCACUUUUAUUCAAAAACAGUUAAUGUUGCAUGAUUAUACAUCAGCGAGGACGACAGUUCAUGUCCAGAGCGAAUCCAGGGUCAUGGGGUUCGGAUUGAGGAUGAUGUGCUGAUCCGAGAACACAGGGGACCCCUCAUCCUGUCUGCAAACACCCCCAAAACCAUCGCAGGUGGAAAGAGUGGAGGAGCUUGCGCACAUGGAGAGGACUGAAGGGGAAGAGCAGAACAUAGCAAGCCCUGCUAGAAUGAGUCCUUUUAACACCUCCGCUGGCAGUCUUUUCUAUAAUGGUGAACUCAGGACGGUUGGAUCUCACAGAACUUGCUCCACUUAAGUUUUAAAUCUGAAGGAUUUAGAGCUAGACAUGUCUGGACAGUGUGCAAUGUGUCCCUGAUAGCCAGUUCACUCCUACGCUAGCUAAAUGGUUGUGUUGGGUCGUGUUUUGUAUUUGACCUGUACAACUACAAUCUCAGAAAAAAGGUACAAAGGCUGUCACAUGGGCGUGCUACCCUUUCAAAAGGUACAUAUUUGUUCCUAAUUUAUCCACAAAUGGUGCAUAUAAGUACCUUAAAGGUAAAAACAACCUUAAAGGUACCACCCCAGUGACAGCUUUUGUACCUUUUUCGUCUGAAGGCUUAUGGGAGACUUUAAACGAGUUCAGAUGGAGAAACAAACAGGCUCUGAUGAUUAAGCAUGUUGAACAGGUUGUUUGUGAGACAAUUUAUCUGUUGCACUGUGAGAGGUUCGAUUUGUGUUUGAGUAUGUUUGUCGACUGAGCCUUUUACUGUAAUACAUGUUUUUUGUGUGUUUUUUUUUUUUUUUACUGUUGUCAAAAUAAACAUCUAAUUCUUGA